RNAcentral lists this ribosomal RNA (446 nucleotides) under uncultured bacterium. Its description in RNAcentral is "partial 16S ribosomal RNA". It matches the Rfam family "Bacterial small subunit ribosomal RNA", at positions 338 to 795 of the family's 1533-position model. The record is from RNAcentral.
CCUACGGGAGGCAGCAGUCGAGAAUCAUUCACAAUGGGGGAAACCCUGAUGGUGCGACGCCGCGUGGGGGAAUGAAGGUCUUCGGAUUGUAAACCCCUGUCAUGUGGGAGCAAAUUAAAAAGAUAGUACCACAAGAGGAAGAGACGGCUAACUCUGUGCCAGCAGCCGCGGUAAUACAGAGGUCGCAAGCGUUGUUCGGAAUCACUGGGCGUAAAGCGUGCGUAGGCUGUUUCGUAAGUCGUGUGUGAAAGGCGCGGGCUCAACCCGCGGACGGCACAUGAUACUGCGAGACUAGAGUAAGGGAGGGGGAACCGGAAUUCUCGGUGUAGCAGUGAAAUGCGUAGAGAUCGAGAGGAACACUCGUGGCGAAGGCGGGUUCCUGGACAUUAACUGACGCUGAGGCACGAAGGCCAGGGGAGCGAAAGGGAUUAGAUACCCCAGUAGUC